GCGGGCGUAACUCAGCGGUAGAGUUCCUGCCUUCCAAGCAGGCUGUCAGGGGUUCGAAUCCCCUCGCCCGCUCCA
RNAcentral lists this transfer RNA (75 nucleotides) under compost metagenome. RNAcentral describes it as "tRNA-Gly". It matches the Rfam family "tRNA". From Rfam's summary of the family: Transfer RNA (tRNA) molecules are approximately 80 nucleotides in length. The record is from RNAcentral.